Cynocephalus volans (Philippine flying lemur) is the source of this 103-nucleotide small nuclear RNA. NCBI's taxonomy places the organism in Eukaryota, Metazoa, Chordata, Mammalia, Dermoptera, Cynocephalidae. The record is from RefSeq and is a predicted model, not a curated record.
UUGCUCACUUCAGUGGCACAUGUACUCAAAUUGGAAUGGUAGAAGAUUAGCAUGGCCUCUGUGCAAAGAUGACAUACAAAUUGGUGAAGUGUUAUAUAUUUUU